RNAcentral lists this long non-coding RNA (618 nucleotides) under Salvator merianae (Argentine black and white tegu). RNAcentral's name for it is "lncRNA (ENSSMRG00000018464.1)". Lineage: Eukaryota; Metazoa; Chordata; Lepidosauria; Squamata; Teiidae. The record is from RNAcentral.
CUCCCUGUGUUUUCCCUUCCUGUGUGGCUCCCUUGAUCAGGAAUGAGAUAACAUGCAGAGGGAAGAGUGCAGAGGCCUCCCUCCCUUGAGCCACCGUACACCAUCACAGCUGCUGGGAAAUCCGUGGUGGAGGAGACGGUACUGUCCUUCCUGCAGUGAGGAGGCACCCAGAGAGCUGAACACCUAAGCCUGUGUUCAGAGUGGAAAAGAUACAAGAAGGUAUAGCUGGCAAGAUGCUGAAUUACCUGAAUGGCUGCGCGCCCUGGCUGCACCACACAGCUCCUGCAAGGCCAGUGUCUGCACAUAUUAGAUGAACAUAGGGUUUCACAAAGAUGCCGGAAGACUGCAAGCAACACAAAGAAGAAUGGAAGGAAGCGUGCUUGAAGUAAUGAGGACAGACAGGGGGUGAAGCUCCUGGAUCAGAGAGAUGGCAAGGGUUAUGAUCAUAAUGAAAAGGCUAAAAUGGCAGUGGCCUGUACAUGCUGCAAGAAGAAAUAAUGAUCAGUGAACAGCAGAAAUAGUCAACUGGAUAUCAAGGGCCCAGAAAAGACCAAGGUGGUGCCACACAUGGCAGAUGGGGGAGAUGAAAUAAAAGGCAUGGUGGUGUAGUAGAAAUCA